Callorhinchus milii (elephant shark) is the source of this 181-nucleotide long non-coding RNA. RefSeq lists it as uncharacterized. The transcript is spliced from 3 exons. NCBI's taxonomy places the organism in Eukaryota, Metazoa, Chordata, Chondrichthyes, Chimaeriformes, Callorhinchidae. The record is from RefSeq and is a predicted model, not a curated record.
GGUUCAGCCGUGCUUCAAAUUCUUAAACACGACUUGGAUUGUGGAAGCUUUGGAAGAUGGGAUUUCGGAGUUCCGCAGGAUUCCACAAUGAUGGGAAGCCAAACUGAUCAGAGAAUGGAACUGAAAGGUGAAGAUGCAAAGGAAAAUCGUUCACAUGGAGCAGUAGAAUUAAUAACAGCUA